RNAcentral lists this small RNA (358 nucleotides) under Pongo abelii (Sumatran orangutan). RNAcentral describes it as "processed transcript". Lineage: Eukaryota; Metazoa; Chordata; Mammalia; Primates; Hominidae. The record is from RNAcentral.
GGAAGACUCCAUGCCCUGGCCCAUUCCUUCGGUACAACUUUGAUGUGACUAAAGGGAAAAUCUUCAUUGAGUGGAUGAAAGGAGCAACUACCAACAUCUGCUACAAUGUACUGGAUCGAAAUGUCCAUGAGAAAAAGCUUGGAGAUAAAGUUGCUUUUUACUGGGAGGGCAAUGAGCCAGGGGAGACCACUCAGAUCACAUACCAUCAGCUUCUGGUCCAAGUGUGUCAGUUCAGCAAUGUUCUCCGAAAGCUUGUGGUGGCCAUGCUGGCAUGUGCCCGCAUUGGGGCUUUGCACUCCAUUGUGUUUGCAGGCUUCUCUUCAGAGUCUCUAUGUGAACGGAUCUUGGAUUCGAGCUG